CCUACGGGAGGCAGCAGUGGGGGAUAUUGCACAAUGGGGGAAACCCUGAUGCAGCGACGCCGCGUGUGGGAAGACGGUCCUCUGGAUUGUAAACCACUGUCCCCAGGGAGGAAGAUGACGGUACCUGGGGAGGAAGCUCCGGCUAACUACGUGCCAGCAGCCGCGGUAAUACGUAGGGAGCGAGCGUUGUCCGGAUUUACUGGGUGAAAGGGGAGCGUAGGCGGGGAUGCAAGUUGGGUGUCAAAACUACCGGCUCAACUGGUAGUCGCACUCAAAACUGCAGCUCUUGAGUGAAGGAGAGGCAGGCGGAAUGCCUGGUGUAGCGGUGAAAUGCGUAGAUAUUAGGAGGAACACCAGUGGCGAAGGCGGCCUGCUGGACUUUUACUGACGCUGAGGCUCGAAAGUGUGGGGAGCAAACAGGAUUAGAUACCCGGGUAGUC
RNAcentral lists this ribosomal RNA (440 nucleotides) under uncultured bacterium. RNAcentral describes it as "partial 16S ribosomal RNA". It matches the Rfam family "Bacterial small subunit ribosomal RNA", at positions 338 to 795 of the family's 1533-position model. The record is from RNAcentral.